This 140-nucleotide ribosomal RNA is filed under the name Salmonella enterica. RNAcentral's name for it is "partial 16S ribosomal RNA". It matches the Rfam family "Bacterial small subunit ribosomal RNA", at positions 1 to 134 of the family's 1533-position model. The record is from RNAcentral. RNAcentral also lists the same sequence under 2 other names. Lineage: Bacteria; Pseudomonadati; Pseudomonadota; Gammaproteobacteria; Enterobacterales; Enterobacteriaceae.
AAAUUGAAGAGUUUGAUCAUGGCUCAGAUUGAACGCUGGCGGCAGGCCUAACACAUGCAAGUCGAACGGUAACAGGAAGUAGCUUGCUGCUUCGCUGACGAGUGGCGGACGGGUGAGUAAUGUCUGGGAAACUGCCUGAU